Long non-coding RNA from Neofelis nebulosa (Clouded leopard), 2052 nucleotides. RefSeq lists it as uncharacterized. The record is from RefSeq and is a predicted model, not a curated record. The transcript has 2 exons. Lineage: Eukaryota; Metazoa; Chordata; Mammalia; Carnivora; Felidae.
GUUUUUUAUGAAUGUGCAGACUCUUUUGAUCUGCUUUUUAAUUUACUUUACUUUACUUUAAUUUAAUUUAAUUUUAUUUUAGAGAGACAGAGCAUGAGCAAGGGAGGGGCAGAGAGAGAGAGAGAGAGAAACAGAAUCCGAAGCAGCCUCCAGGCUCUGAGCCAUCAGCACAGAACCCCACAAGGGGCUCCAACUCACAGGCAGAGAGAUCAUGACCUGAGCCAAAGUCAGACGCUUAACCGACUGAGCCACCCAGGCGCCCCUCUUUUGAUCUGCUUUUGAACAACUAAGAUGGACCGGACCAUUGCUCUCACAUUCUAGCGCACGGAAGACAGACGGUGUACAAACAAGAACAUAUCAAAUGGUGCAGUUGGCUGAAGGCGGCCCCCCAAAAGCUAUGUCUACCUCCUAACCCCCGGAACCUGUGAAGGUGAUCUUCCUUGGGAAAAUGGGUCUUUGCAGAUGUAAGUAAGGAUCUUGAGAGAAGAUCAUCCUGGAUUAUCAAGGUGGUCACUAAAUCCAACGACAAGUGACUUUCCAAGUCACACAGAAGAGACACAGAGAGGAAGAAAAGACCAUAAAAUGGGAGGCAGAGACUGGAGUGAUACAGCCACAACCAAGGAACAUGUGGGGCCACUAGACUCUGGAAGCAGCAAGGAAGGAUUCUGUCCUAUAUCCCCUCGAGGGAGCAUGGCCCUGCUGACACCUUCAUUUCAGACUCCGGCCUCUAGAACUGUGAGAAACUAAGUUUCUGUUGUUGUAAGCCUCCUUCUUUGUGGGCAUUUGUACAUCAACCCUAGGAAACAAUGGCAUAAAUGGUAACACGUACCGAGAAGAAAAUAAGAUGGGCAAAUGAGACAAAAUAUAAACAGGGACUCAGAUAUGACCACCAUAAAUGAUGGAGUCUGGAAGGCCCCAUUUAGGAUGUACCAGCUGAAUUCCCUGAGGACAUGGGAGAGGGGUGUUCUGAAUCUGAGGGCGAGGGGGCAAAUAUAAAGGGCCUAACCUGGGAAUUAAUUUGGUGUGUGCAAAGACCAGGAAGUGAGUGGUGCUGAUUAUGGGAGGUGCAGGGGAGAGUGGUAGGGAGAUGCUGAGACAGGAAGGAACCGGACCCUGUAGAGCCUUGUAACCUCAGAGAGACCUAACACUUAUAAUGACUUGCAGAUGCCCUUACGAGCAGAGAAUGACGUACGGACUGAUUAAAUAAUGAGUAUAUGCCAAACAUUGUAGCAAUCGGAUUAAAACCCAGAACCUUUAUAAUCUUCCUCAUGUAAUCCCAUCCCACUGUUAAUUCAAUAUGAAUAAGAAUGUCACAAAUAGAACAUGUGAGGUCAAACACCACAGACACAGUAGAAAAUCCUCAGUGGGAUCCUUUAUUUUGUUCACUUGCUACUUACAAGGUGAAAUGUCAACCUGUAAAAGUUGUUUCUACCAGUUCAGCCAAUGGCCUGGAACAUCAUCGUGUCCUCAUUCCACGGUGUAUAGUCCUGGGGGGCAGAUCCAAGGGUCACAGCUUCACGGGGACCAGACGGCGCGGGUUCCAGAGCUCGAGCUCCGCACGCUGCGCGUCCCCAGGACCCCACAGCCUCAUUCCUACUGGUGAUCAGCGAGGAAAUGGAUGGUAUUUCUAUUCACUUUUUCAAAGAUCAGACCUACCUCAUUUACAUGUCAAGAAAAUGUUCUCAAGUAAAAUAAAGUGUUUAUCAUUUUCCUAUAGCUCUUUGAAUGCCUGGCAUUCAUGUUUUCCCUACCUCUAAAAUUCCUUUCUUUUUCACAUUAUCUUUCUUGAUUGCUUCUUAAUGUAAAAACAAAAAGCACAAAGAUAGGGAUUUGUUGUGCACAUUAGCAGGUCCGUGCAGAAAAAUGCACGGAGGUUUUAUAUACCAUUUACAGUGACAGCUCAGAGUACAAAGUCAAGAAGAAAGAAUCUGGAAUAUUAGACGUGCUCUGAAAUAAGCCUACACAGGAGGACACCACUGUAGUUUCAUCAGAACUUUCUCUCAUCAGCCGUUCAACAGUGGCAAAUGCAAAAAACGUGCGGUUAAAAUAACA